This 465-nucleotide ribosomal RNA is filed under the name uncultured bacterium. RNAcentral's name for it is "partial 16S ribosomal RNA". It matches the Rfam family "Bacterial small subunit ribosomal RNA", at positions 28 to 507 of the family's 1533-position model. The record is from RNAcentral.
GACGAACGCUGGCGGCGUGCUUAACACAUGCAAGUCGAACGGAAAGGCCCUGCUUGCAGGGUACUCGAGUGGCGAACGGGUGAGUAACACGUGGGUGAUCUGCCCUGCACUUCGGGAUAAGCCUGGGAAACUGGGUCUAAUACCGGAUAGGAGCCAUUUUUAGUGUGAUGGUUGGAAAGUUUUUUCGGUGUAGGAUGAGCUCGCGGCCUAUCAGCUUGUUGGUGGGGUAAUGGCCUACCAAGGCGGCGACGGGUAGCCGGCCUGAGAGGGUGGACGGCCACAUUGGGACUGAGGGACGGCCCAGACUCCUACGGGAGGCAGCAGUGGGGAAUAUUGCACAAGGGGCGCAAGCCGGAUGCAGCGACGCCGCGUGGGGGAUGACGGCCUUCGGGUUGUAAACUCCUUUCGCUAGGGACGAAGCUUUUUGUGACGGUACCUAGAGAAGAAGCACCGGCUAACUACGUG